CAGCAGCCACGGGAAUACGAAGGGGGCUAGCGUUGCUCGGAAUCACUGGGCGUAAAGGGUGCGUAGGCGGGUCUUUAAGUCAGGGGUGAAAUCCUGGAGCUCAACUCCAGAACUGCCUUUGAUACUGAAGAUCUUGAGUUCGGGAGAGGUGAGUGGAACUGCGAGUGUAGAGGUGAAAUUCGUAGAUAUUCGCAAGAACACCAGUGGCGAAGGCGGCUCACUGGCCCGAUACUGACGCUGAGGCACGAAAGCGUGGGGAGCAAACAGGAUUAGAUACCCCGGUAGUCCCUGUCUCUUAUAC
Molecule: ribosomal RNA, 301 nt
Filed under: uncultured bacterium
Lineage: Bacteria
Description: partial 16S ribosomal RNA
Rfam family: Bacterial small subunit ribosomal RNA
Source: RNAcentral